UUGCNNUGGAGGAACUCUGAUGCAGCGACGCCGCGUGAGUGAUGAAGGACUUCGGUUUGUAAAGCUCUGUUCUUAGGGAAUAAAAAAAUGAAUGUACCUGAGGAGAAAGCACCGGCUAACUUCGUGCCAGCAGCCGCGGUAAUACGAAGGGUGCAAGCGUUGCUCGGAAUCAUUGGGCGUAAAGCGAGCGCAGGUGGUCUUGUAAGUCAGGAGUGAAAUCCCAGGGCUUAACCCUGGAAGUGCUUUUGAUACUGCGAGACUUGAAUGUGGGAGAGGGUACUAGAAUACAUAGUGUAGUGGUGAAAUACGUAGAUAUUAUGUGGAACACCGGUGGCGAAGGCGGGUGCCUGGCCCAACAUUGACACUUAGGCUCGAAAGCGUGGGGAUCAAACAGGAUUAGAUACCCUGGUAGUCCACGCCGUAAACGAUGAAUACUUGGUGUUGGUGGUAUUGACCCCACCAGUGCCGCAGCUAACGCGUUAAGUAUUCCGCCUGGGAAGUACGGUCGCAAGAUUAAAACUCAAAGAAAUUGACGGA
Molecule: ribosomal RNA, 537 nt
Filed under: uncultured bacterium
Lineage: Bacteria
Description: bacterial SSU rRNA
Rfam family: Bacterial small subunit ribosomal RNA
Source: RNAcentral